UAUGGCAAGAGACAGAUUCUCUGGUGAUG
RNAcentral lists this non-coding RNA (29 nucleotides) under Rattus norvegicus (Norway rat). Lineage: Eukaryota; Metazoa; Chordata; Mammalia; Rodentia; Muridae. The record is from RNAcentral.